UUGAGAAUGAGCACAGAUUCACCAGUCUGGUCACUGGGAUCUCUUGCAAUGCGUUUUACAUGAAUGGCAGAAGGCGAUUCCAUAAAAGGAUCAGUGGUGAUAACAGCAAGUUUAUCACCAACAGAGAAAUCCACAGCCCUGGCAGGCGAAUCAAAGUUAAAGGAGUACAACUGAGUUCCAGUUUGAACAUCCCACAACUUUGCUGUCUGGUCUGCACUUCCAGUAAUAAGGCGCAUCGAAUCUCUUGAGACAUCGCAGCACCAAACGGCGCCGUUGUGGCCGCGGUAAGUACCCAAACGUUCGCCGUUGUCGGCGAACCAGACGGUGGGAGUGUGGUCUUUGGCGCAGGAGAACAAGAGAUCGCCUUCUCUGUUAUACUUCAAAAACGUUAAGGGCCUUUCAUGCCCUUUCAUC
RNAcentral lists this unclassified non-coding RNA (414 nucleotides) under Hevea brasiliensis (rubber tree). Lineage: Eukaryota; Viridiplantae; Streptophyta; Magnoliopsida; Malpighiales; Euphorbiaceae. The record is from RNAcentral.